UCUUCCUUGGUCUAGUGGUCAUGAUUUCCGCUUGUCAUCACGUGAUUACGAGCGCGGGAGACCGGGGUACGUAAACAUCGCCUUGAAUGCUGUAAUCCUAGCUAAUCCUGCAUAGGUUCGAUUCCCCGAGGGAGAG
Molecule: non-coding RNA, 136 nt
Organism: Didymosphaeria variabile
Lineage: Eukaryota; Fungi; Ascomycota; Dothideomycetes; Pleosporales; Didymosphaeriaceae
Source: the annotation of a RefSeq genome assembly